This 265-nucleotide ribosomal RNA is filed under the name uncultured Listeria sp. RNAcentral describes it as "partial 16S ribosomal RNA". It matches the Rfam family "Bacterial small subunit ribosomal RNA", at positions 503 to 767 of the family's 1533-position model. The record is from RNAcentral. Lineage: Bacteria; Bacillati; Bacillota; Bacilli; Caryophanales; Listeriaceae.
UGGUGCCAGGCCUCCGCGGUAAUACGUAGGUGGCAAGCGUUGUCCGGAUUUAUUGGGCGUAAAGCGCGCGCAGGCGGUCUUUUAAGUCUGAUGUGAAAGCCCCCGGCUUACCGGGGAGGGUCAUUGGAAACUGGAAGACUGGAGUGCAGAAGAGGAGAGUGGAAUUCCACGUGUAGCGGUGAAAUGCGUAGAUAUGUGGAGGAACACCAGUGGCGAAGGCGACUCUCUGGUCUGUAACUGACGCUGAGGCGCGAAAGGCUGGACG